Molecule: long non-coding RNA, 426 nt
Organism: Spinacia oleracea (spinach)
Lineage: Eukaryota; Viridiplantae; Streptophyta; Magnoliopsida; Caryophyllales; Amaranthaceae
Exons: 3
Source: RefSeq, a predicted model, not a curated record
CCCUUCUUGUCCACAUCAAUGAAAAAUAAAACUUAAAAAACCGCCUCCUUCAUACCCCGUACCACCAUAACUUUCAAACCCUAAAAAUUCAUCAUCUCCCACACGGGUUAGAGCUACGAUUAACCCCAUAAUUUUGGAUGAAUUGUGUACUCAAUUUCCCUUCCUUGUGCUACUUGAAUUUCGGAGGUUUAUUUUCCCUUUUUCACGAAGAGUGGAGGUUUGAACGAAGAUUGGAGGUUUAAAAUUGAAGGUGUCUAAUCAGGAGGAAGACAUGCCGAACAUGGGUAUUCAUGGUUUAUUCGCUACUCUUGAAACAUGUUUGUUCUAUUUUUCUUGCAGCGUUAACAACUUAACCUGAGGUUUAUUUUUAUAGGUAUUCUGUUCUGUUAGGCAAAGCCUAAACUUAGGCCCUUGUUCCAUACUCCC